UUGCAAUGAUGAAAGAGAUUUCCAAAACCAUUCGUAGUUUCCACCAGAGGUUGAAAGACCUAUGUUGGCUCCAAGUACCUUCCUUGGAUGUCUGAGCGA
Molecule: small nucleolar RNA, 99 nt
Organism: Podarcis raffonei (Aeolian wall lizard)
Lineage: Eukaryota; Metazoa; Chordata; Lepidosauria; Squamata; Lacertidae
Product: small nucleolar RNA SNORD14
Exons: 1
Source: RefSeq, a predicted model, not a curated record